Molecule: long non-coding RNA, 2569 nt
Filed under: Sus scrofa (pig)
Lineage: Eukaryota; Metazoa; Chordata; Mammalia; Artiodactyla; Suidae
Description: lncRNA (ENSSSCG00005010231.1)
Source: RNAcentral
UUUUUUCUUUUUUUUUUUUUGCUUUUUAGGGCCACACUCGAGACAUAUGGAGGUUCCCAGUACUCGAUAGUAAGAAAUUAAACCCCAAUCUAAAAAUGGGCAUGAAACAAGAUAUUUUACCAAAGAAGAUACAUGAAUGGUAAUAAGUACAUGAAAAUAUGCUCUAUGUUAUUAGUCAUUAGAGAAACACAAACUGAAAAUCACAAGAUACCACAUCUAUGAGAAAAGCUAAAUCACAACUGAUCAUAACAAGUGUUGACAAGUGUCAGAGUCUGAAUUGUGUACCCCAACUUCAUAGGUUGAAACGCUAGAACCUCUGGGUCUUUAAAGAGGUGAUUAAGUUAAAAUGAGGGGCCCAAAUCUAAUGACGGGGUGUCCUUAUAAGAGGAAAUUCAGAAAAAAAAACUACCAAGAAAAGACCACACACAGAGGUAACAAGAGAGCAGCCAUCUACAAGUCAAGGAGAAAGGCCUCAGCAGAAGGCAACCCUGCCAAAAUUUAAUCCUGCACUUUCACCCUCAAGAACUACAAGAAAACAAAUUGCUGCUGUUUAAACCAUGCAGUCUAUGAUAUUUGAUUAUGGCAGGCUAGCAAACUGAUACAGCAAGCAUGUGAAGAAACUGUUUUAACUCUCAUACUGCUCAUGGAAAUGCCAAAUGGUGUAACCACUCUGAAAAAUAGUAAUGAUGUCUUAAAAACCUUAAAAAUAUACCUACCAUAUGAUCCAGCCAUUCCACAACUGGGUAUUUACCACCUCCCUCAAAGAAAAAGCCCAAAGACUGUAUACAAAUGUUUAAGGCAUAUUUAUUUCUAGUAGUUCCCAACUAGAGUUUCUACAAUGAACAGAUGAACAGACAGACAAACUAGGGUUUCUUUAAUGGAAUACACACAACAGGGUGAAUCUGAAAAUAAUUAUGCUGAGUAAAGGAAAUUAAGCAGAAUGGAGCAUAUAGUGCAUAAUUUCAUUAACAUAUAAUUCUAGAAAAGGUAAACUAAUCUAUAGUGAAAGAGGAGAUCAGUGGUUACCUGGGGAUAGCAAGGGAUAACAAGAAAGGGUUAUAAAGGUGCACAAGGGCUUUGUAGUGAUAGACAGAUGUGCAUUGCAACGGUGGGAUAGAUAUUUCAAGACAUGAAAUUACAUACGUCAAAUGUGUGUUGUCUUCUGUAAGUCAAUUAUAUUUCCUUUUUUUUUUUUUUCCCCAGCUUUUUGCGAUUUUUCUUGGGCCGCUCCCUUGGCAUAUGGAGAUUCCCAGGCUAGGGGUCUAAUCGGAGCUGUAGCCACCAGCCUACACCAGAGCCACAGCAACGCGGGAUCUGAGCCGCAUCUUCUACCUAAACCACAGCUCACGGCAACGCUGGAUCGUUAACCCACUGAGCAAGGGCAGAGAUCAAACCCGCAACCUCAUAGUUCCUAGUCGGAUUCGUUAACCACUGCGCCAUGACGGGAACUCCAUCAAUUAUAUUUCAAUGAAACUGUUAAAAACUUACAUAUAUGUGUAUUAUACAUUUAACACUACAAAGGAAAAAUGGACACAAAAUCAUCCAUCAAUAAAGGUUUCUGGAGUUCCCACUGUGGCACAAUGGGAUUGAUGGUGUCUGCAGCAGCAGGGAUAUGGGUUCAAUCCCUGACCCAGCACAUUGCCACAGUUGUGGUGUAGGUCACAAUUGCAGCUCAGAUUCAAUCCAUGCCCGGGAACUCCAUAUGCCACAGAGUGGCCAAAAAAGAAAAAUAAAGUAAAAUAAAUAAAUGAAUAAGGGUUUCCAACAAAUUUCUUUCAGGCCUUGACAGAUGGAGUAAGUAAAAAAUUAAGAAUACAGGGAGUUCCCAUCGUGGUGCAGUGGAAACGAAUCUGACUAGGAACCAUGAAGUUGCAGGUUCAAUCCCUCGCCUCACUCAGGGGGUUAAGGAUCUGGCAUUGCUGUGGCUCUGGUGUAGGCCGGCAGCUGUAGCUCUGAUUAGACCCCUAGCUUGGGAACCCCCAUAUGCCGCAGAUGCGGCCCUAAAAAAAAGACAAAAGACCAAAAAACAAAACAAAACAACAACAACAACAACAACAACAAAAAAAAAAACUAAUAAGAAUGCAGGAAAACAUUAAGUUGGAAAAUACAAAUGCAUAUUCACAAUGUAACUCUACAAGAAGAGAAUUUCUCCUAUUCAAGGAUUUACAAUGCUACACAAAGAGUGAAUGAACACAUUCGACCAGUAAAGAACAUCUUAACAAAUUAUAAAAAGAAAAAAAAAUUCAAAUAUUCUAAUCAUGAUACAAUAAAACUUAAAAUUCCUGACAACAACAAAGACACCCCAAAAAAAGCCACUAACCUAUCAGAAUUUAAAAUACUCUCUAUAUAAUUGAAUGUUAGGCAAAGGGGGAAAUCAAAGACACAAAAAUAGAUUAUCUAGAAAAUGGUAAGUAAAAUUAAAACCCACCAGGAGUUCCCAUCGUGGCACCACCGAAACAAAUCCGACUAGGAACCAUGAGGUUUCGGGUUCAAUUCUUGGCCUUGCUCAAGUGGGUUAAGGAUCCAGCAUUGCUGUGAGCUGUGGCGUAGGUUGCAGACUUGGCAUUGC